UUGACCUCGGAUCAGGUAGGGAUACCCGCUGAACUUAAGCAUAUCAAUAAGCGGAGGAAAAGAAACCAACAGGGAUUGCCCUAGUAACGGCGAGUGAAGCGGCAAGAGCUCAAAUUUGAAAGCUGGCCCCCUCGGGGCCCGCAUUGUAAUUUGCAGAGGAUGCUUCGGGCGUGGCCCCUGUCUAAGUGCCCUGGAACGGGCCGUCAGAGAGGGUGAGAAUCCCGUAUGGGAUGGGGUGCCCACGCCCGUGUGAAGCUCCUUCGACGAGUCGAGUUGUUUGGGAAUGCAGCUCUAAAUGGGUGGUAAAUUUCAUCUAAAGCUAAAUAUUGGCCGGAGACCGAUAGCGCACAAGUAGAGUGAUCGAAAGAUGAAAAGCACUUUGAAAAGAGAGUUAAAAAGCACGUGAAAUUGUUGAAAGGGAAGCGCUUGCGACCAGACUCGCCCCAGGGGUUCAACCGGCUUUCGGGCCGGUGUACUUCCCCCGGGGCGGGCCAGCGUCGGUUUUGGCGGCCGGUCAAAGGCCCCUGGAAUGUAACGCCCCCCGGGGCGUCUUAUAGCCAGGGGUGCCAUGCGGCCCGCCGGGACCGAGGAACGCGCUUCGGCUCGGACGC
Molecule: ribosomal RNA, 611 nt
Filed under: Penicillium fellutanum
Lineage: Eukaryota; Fungi; Ascomycota; Eurotiomycetes; Eurotiales; Aspergillaceae
Description: eukaryotic LSU rRNA
Rfam family: Eukaryotic large subunit ribosomal RNA
Source: RNAcentral